This 399-nucleotide unclassified non-coding RNA is filed under the name Colpoon compressum. Its description in RNAcentral is "partial external transcribed spacer". Lineage: Eukaryota; Viridiplantae; Streptophyta; Magnoliopsida; Santalales; Santalaceae. The record is from RNAcentral.
UCAACCAGGUAACAUCAUUAACAAUGUCGGCAUCACACAAGCAUCCAUAGAUGCUAAAUGUGGCAUGACAGUCAAAUGCAUCAAGCGUGAAACGCUUUCAAGGGGCAAAUAAUCAAACAUCCAUCAAGUCACCCUCUUUGUAUUCCACAUCCGAGAACACGAGCCAAUACCCCACAAGCCAAGCCACCAAAACAUAAAGUUCAGCAACCCGAUUGCAGGCAUUGCUUCAUUCUCCAUCGCAAGCCCAAAAGGACCAUAAGGUGGAGCGGGACACAAAUAAGGAUUCUAGUUCCAUCACGCUAGGUAAGAAAUACAGGGACCACAAAGCCCAAGUCAUAUAUGCACUCGAAGCUUCAAUGAAGACACACGCAUCAACAAUUCCAAGCACAAGCAAGGAGC